RNAcentral lists this ribosomal RNA (504 nucleotides) under uncultured bacterium. RNAcentral describes it as "bacterial SSU rRNA". It matches the Rfam family "Bacterial small subunit ribosomal RNA", at positions 24 to 518 of the family's 1533-position model. The record is from RNAcentral.
UCAGAUUGAACGCUGGCGGCAGGCCUAACACAUGCAAGUCGAACGGUAACAGGAAGAAGCUUGCUCUUGCUGACGAGUGGCGGACGGGUGAGUAAUGUCUGGGAAACUGCCUGAUGGAGGGGGAUAACUACUGGAAACGGUAGCUAAUACCGCAUAACGUCGCAAGACCAAAGAGGGGGACCUUCGGGCCUCUUAGCCAUCGGAUGUGCCCAGAUGGGAUUAGCUAGUAGGUGGGGUAACGGCUCACCUAGGCGACGAUCCCUAGCUGGUCUGAGAGGAUGACCAGCCACACUGGAACUGAGACACGGUCCAGACUCCUACGGGAGGCAGCAGUGGGGAAUAUUGCACAAUGGGCGCGAGCCUGAUGCAGCCAUGCCGCGUGUAUGAAGAAGGCCUUCGGGUUGUAAAGUACUUUCAGCGGGGAGGAAGGGAGUAAAGUUAAUACCUUUGCUCAUUGACGUUACCCGCAGAAGAAGCACCGGCUAACUCCGUGCCAGCAGCGGC